Molecule: ribosomal RNA, 497 nt
Filed under: uncultured bacterium
Lineage: Bacteria
Description: partial 16S ribosomal RNA
Rfam family: Bacterial small subunit ribosomal RNA
Source: RNAcentral
GAUGAACGCUGGCGGCGUGCCUAAUACAUGCAAGUCGAGCGAACGGACGAGAAGCUUGCUUCUCUGAUGUUAGCGGCGGACGGGUGAGUAACACGUGGAUAACCUACCUAUAAGACUGGGAUAACUUCGGGAAACCGGAGCUAAUACCGGAUAAUAUUUUGAACCGCAUGGUUCAAAAGUGAAAGGCGGUCUCGCUGUCACUUAUAGAUGGAUCCGCGCUGCAUUAGCUAGUUGGUAAGGUAACGGCUUACCAAGGCAACGAUGCAUAGCCGACCUGAGAGGGUGAUCGGCCACACUGGAACUGAGACACGGUCCAGACUCCUACGGGAGGCAGCAGUAGGGAAUCUUCCGCAAUGGGCGAAAGCCUGACGGAGCAACGCCGCGUGAGUGAUGAAGGUCUUCGGAUCGUAAAACUCUGUUAUUAGGGAAGAACAUAUGUGUAAGUAACUGUGCACAUCUUGACGGUACCUAAUCAGAAAGCCACGGCUAACUACGUG